RNAcentral lists this ribosomal RNA (308 nucleotides) under uncultured bacterium. RNAcentral's name for it is "bacterial SSU rRNA". It matches the Rfam family "Bacterial small subunit ribosomal RNA", at positions 772 to 1073 of the family's 1533-position model. The record is from RNAcentral.
ACUGAAUAGAUACCCUGGUAGUCCACGCCCUAAACGAUGUCUACUAGUUGGUCGGGUUUUAAUUAACGUUGGUAAACGCAGCUAAACGCGUGAAAGUAGACCGCCGUGGGGAGUACGGUCGCAAGAAUUAAACUCAAAGGAAUUGACGGGGACCCGCAACAAGCGGUGGAUGAUGUGGAUUAAUUCGAUGCAACGCGAAAAACCUUACCUACCUUGACAUGUACGGAAGCCACGAGAGAUCGAGGUGUGCUCGAAAGAGAGCCGUAACACAGGUGCUGCACGGCUGUCGUCAGCUCGUGUCGUGAGAU